Molecule: unclassified non-coding RNA, 366 nt
Filed under: plant metagenome
Description: partial contains small subunit ribosomal RNA, internal transcribed spacer 1, and 5.8S ribosomal RNA
Source: RNAcentral
AUUCCGUAGGUGAACCUGCGGAAGGAUCAUUACAAACGUAUCCACGUAUAAACCACACCGUUGAACUGUAACUAGUCCGUUAGGCUGGGUUCGGUUGAUUCAAGGUGAACAUUUUAAACAGUGCCUUCUUUUUCGGGAGGUGCGAGUGGUCAAAAACGCCUUGAUCGAUCUACAUGCUAUAGUCAGUUUUCUGACUCCCUGCUGUAAGCCCUUCCUAGUUCGCGUAUUUUCUAAAACUUUAUGACCAUUUUAUUUCACCCAUUUCACCCAAUUUUUAACUACUAACUUAUCUGAUCUGACUCCGAGAGGAGAUGGAUUAAAAUACGAAAUUAAGAACAACUCUUAACAACGGAUAUCUUGGCUCUC